Acromyrmex echinatior (Panamanian leafcutter ant) is the source of this 1064-nucleotide long non-coding RNA. The record is from RefSeq and is a predicted model, not a curated record. NCBI's taxonomy places the organism in Eukaryota, Metazoa, Arthropoda, Insecta, Hymenoptera, Formicidae.
UAUCGUAGAGUGGAAAUUAUUGCGACAUGACAAUGCGCGGAAAUCGGGUCGGUCGGCGACAGUGCGCCAGAAAUUGAUCUGUCGCGCUCGUGAGCGUCGCGACGCGGCGCGUCGCGUUGUGUCGCGUCGCAUUACAUCGUGUCGCCUUCUAAUUUCAUCUUUCGCGAGCGCGAUUGACUUCCUUCGCGGACAGGAAUGAUUUUGGAUGCGUGCGUGUUGAGGGAAGCGAUCGAUCAAAUCAGAAGAUCGGGAUGAUGCGAAGGAAUGGUUUCAUGAGAGAAGAAACAGCCGUCCGACGAUUCCCAUGCCGAUUGAUGAAAGUUACAUAAGUUAUACUGAAAGAAAAGAUUGGCUGCUGCAACAAAUAAGAUGAGAGAAAAAGAAAUGAUGAAUCUUGGAGAAAUAUAAAGAUCAACGGAGGAUCAAAUGUACAAUCAAAUAAUAUCUAAUUAUAUUUACAGUAAACAGGUUUAAAAAAACGACAAAAAUUAAUGUCGCUAUACAUCUUCCACAUAAUGUUUCUUGUCAAUGAACAUAUUCACAAAAAAAGACGACAAUUUAAUUAAUUACGAUCAAUAACAGACCAAUUAUUACUACGAAAUAAACGCUUAAAAAAGAAACUCUCUACAAAUUAUUAUUGCAGGACAUAAUAUAAUGCUCUAUGUGUACAGAGGAAGAAAGAAUUCUCUUGGGGUAAAUUCAUUUUCUUGCAAUAUACUAUUGAGUAAACAAUAUGAAACUUACAAUUAGAGUUCGAAGACUUGGAGCUCUAUUGUGCCUUUCCGCUGGUUUUCUUCAUCGGAUGCAAUUUCCCCGGGUUGCGUUUCCGUACGAAACAAAGUUGCGCUGUCGUUCAAAAAUUCGUAACAGGCUUGAAAGGACACGAUUCCCAGACGACAUUCCCAACCUUUGAAUAAUAUGAUUUGUACACCCGGCGCACAUCGCUGCACGUAAGCAAUACUGAAGGAUUAAUGGCGUGUCGUCAUAAAAAAUCGCAAUAAUUCACACUCAGCAGAGAAAUAUUAUGAUUAAAGGGUUAGAUAGAUUAUUUUAGAUUAUAAUAA